GGAAAAUUUAUCUUAAAAUAUUAAGGUCAGACAAGAACCUCUGUCAAGGAACAGGAAGUCAUGCCCUGAAGAGACAAGUAGAGGCUGUAGCCAUGGGUGGCUUUGGGGUAGUAGCUGUUGGCUGUGCCUAGAAGGACAUCAUGAAAGUUUUUUCCAACCACAAAGGGCCCAGAGUUUCCCUUGUGAAUGAGCUCAGCAUCCUCACGUUUCCAAGAGGAAUCAACACCGCAAUUCCUCGGACCACGGUGGCUCUCUUCCCAGCACACCCUUGCUGUGACCUGCACCCCUGCAUUGUCCUCAAAGACACACUAAGAAAACACAGUUCAGAAGGAAGGACGUAACGGAGCUCAUGAUCCAGUUCUGCAUUUGGCGUGGCCCCAAAGACACUGUGUGCAGAGUCAGAAAUAUGCUCCCCAGUUGGACUCCAUGGGAUACUGUUUCAAAAGAGCUAUCAUUCUUGUCUGUUUAC
Molecule: long non-coding RNA, 469 nt
Filed under: Pan troglodytes (chimpanzee)
Lineage: Eukaryota; Metazoa; Chordata; Mammalia; Primates; Hominidae
Description: long non-coding RNA NONPTRT017019
Source: RNAcentral